This 497-nucleotide ribosomal RNA is filed under the name uncultured bacterium. Its description in RNAcentral is "partial 16S ribosomal RNA". It matches the Rfam family "Bacterial small subunit ribosomal RNA", at positions 28 to 507 of the family's 1533-position model. The record is from RNAcentral.
GAUGAACGCUGGCGGCGUGCCUAAUACAUGCAAGUCGAGCGAACGGACGAGAAGCUUGCUUCUCUGAUGUUAGCGGCGGACGGGUGAGUAACACGUGGAUAACCUACCUAUAAGACUGGGAUAACUUCGGGGAACCGGAGCUAAUACCGGAUAAUAUUUUGAACCGCAUGGUUCAAAAGUGAAAGACGGUCUUGCUGUCACUUAUAGAUGGAUCCGCGCUGCAUUAGCUAGUUGGUAAGGUAACGGCUUACCAAGGCAACGAUGCAUAGCCGACCUGAGAGGGUGAUCGGCCACACUGGAACUGAGACACGGUCCAGACUCCUACGGGAGGCAGCAGUAGGGAAUCUACCGCAAUGGGCGAAAGCCUGACGGAGCAACGCCGCGUGAGUGAUGAAGGUCUUCGGAUCGUAAAACUCUGUUAUUAGGGAAGAACAUAUGUGUAAGUAACUGUGCACAUCUUGACGGUACCUAAUCAGAAAGCCACGGCUAACUACGUG